AUGUAUAACUGCGUCACGUUCGUGAUUAUUUCUUCCCUUUCAGGUAACAGUGUCCCCACCCUCACCGUCCUGCCCCCCUCUAGUGAAGAGCUGUCCAGUACAACAACAGCCACACUGACGUGUCUGGCCAACAAGGGCUUCCCCUCAGACUGGACCAUGAGCUGGAAAGUGGACGGGACCAGCAAGAAGCAGGAGGCCAGUCCCAGGGUCCAGGAGAAGGAUGGCCUGUAUAGCUGGAGCAGCACCCUGACUCUCACUGCCCAGGAGUGGACCAAUGCAGGAGAGGUGACCUGUGAAGCGCAGCAGAAAUCCCAGACUCCAGUCACCAAGACCCUGAGGAGGGCUGACUGUUCUGGGUAGGACCCCUCAGUCACACACCCCUGUGGAGAGAGGAUGCUGGUUCCUCUUCUUUGACUUGCUUUGUUCUAAAAUCAGUCAUUCUUCAAUCUAGUGAUCACUCUGGUGUAGACUAACAGGGGGCUUGGCUUGAGUUCAUGUGUCAAUCCAUUCUGUAGAUUGAGAUUUUGUUAGUUUUAGAUUUGAUGUGAUCUGUUUUUAUUCACUAUCAUGUUUGCUUUGAUGCUUUGAUUGUGUGAUAAUGG
This is a non-coding RNA of Coregonus clupeaformis (lake whitefish), 602 nucleotides long. The record is from the annotation of a RefSeq genome assembly. Lineage: Eukaryota; Metazoa; Chordata; Actinopteri; Salmoniformes; Salmonidae.